GACGAACGCUGGCGGCGUGCCUAAUACAUGCAAGUAGGACGCAGUUGGGAACGGGUCAGUAACGCGUAGGUACCUGACUGUUAGAGGGGGGUAACUAAUGGAAACGAUAGCUAAUACCGCAUACUAGUCGAUAGACCUGCGUUGGAUUAGCUAGUAGGUAGGGUAAUGGCCUACCUAGGCGAAGAUACAUAGCCGAGCGGAGAGGGUGAUCGGCCACAUUGGGACUGAGACACGGCCCAGAAUCCUACGGGAGGCAGCAGUAGGGAAUCUUCGGCAAUGGGGGGAAGUCUGACCGAGCAACGCCGCGUGAGUGAUGAAGGUUUUCGGGUUGUAAAGCUCUGUUGUUAAGGAAGCGGUACCUAACCAGAAAGCGACGGCUAACUACGUGCCAGCAGCCGCGGUAAUAC
This 407-nucleotide ribosomal RNA is filed under the name uncultured bacterium. Its description in RNAcentral is "partial 16S ribosomal RNA". It matches the Rfam family "Bacterial small subunit ribosomal RNA", at positions 28 to 526 of the family's 1533-position model. The record is from RNAcentral.